CGAGCCGGCCGGGCGGUCGCGUCGGGGGGUCUUCGGAUCUCCCGCCGAGGAAAGUCCGGGCUCCACAGGGCAGGGUGGUCGGUAACACCGACCCGGGGCGACCCGCGGGACAGUGCCACAGAGAACAGACCGCCCCGCGCUCCCAGGAGCGCAGGGUAAGGGUGAAACGGUGAGGUAAGAGCUCACCAGCGCCCGGAGCGAUCCGGGCGGCUAGGUAAACCCCACCCGGAGCAAGACCAGACAGCGGAUGCACGAGGGCUGCCCGCCCGAGUCCGCGGGUAGGUCGCUAGAGGGCGCCGGCAACGGCCCCCCAAGAUGGAUGACCGCCAAGGAGACGUCGGCAACGACCCUCCAGAACAGAACCCGGCUUACAGGCCGCCUCGUCCG
RNAcentral lists this RNase P RNA (387 nucleotides) under Actinocorallia herbida. RNAcentral's name for it is "Bacterial RNase P class A". It matches the Rfam family "Bacterial RNase P class A". Rfam says of the family: Ribonuclease P (RNase P) is a ubiquitous endoribonuclease, found in archaea, bacteria and eukarya as well as chloroplasts and mitochondria. Its best characterised activity is the generation of mature 5'-ends of tRNAs by cleaving the 5'-leader elements of precursor-tRNAs. Lineage: Bacteria; Bacillati; Actinomycetota; Actinomycetes; Streptosporangiales; Thermomonosporaceae. The record is from Rfam by way of RNAcentral.